Molecule: ribosomal RNA, 28 nt
Filed under: Laurencia cf. perforata
Lineage: Eukaryota; Rhodophyta; Florideophyceae; Ceramiales; Rhodomelaceae
Also listed under: 4 other names
Description: partial 28S ribosomal RNA
Source: RNAcentral
CGAGGCUACCCGCUGAACUUAAGCAUAU